This 495-nucleotide ribosomal RNA is filed under the name uncultured bacterium. RNAcentral's name for it is "partial 16S ribosomal RNA". It matches the Rfam family "Bacterial small subunit ribosomal RNA", at positions 28 to 507 of the family's 1533-position model. The record is from RNAcentral.
GAUGAACGCUGGCGGCGUGCCUAAUACAUGCAAGUAGAACGCUGAAGGAGGAGCUUGCUCUUCUGGAUGAGUAGCGAACGGGUGAGUAACGCGUAGGUAACCUGCCUGGUAGCGGGGGAUAACUAUUGGAAACGAUAGCUAAUACCGCAUGACAACAGUUAUUGCAUGAUAACUGUUUAAAAGGGGCAACUGCUCCACUACCAGAUGGACCUGCGUUGUAUUAGCUAGUUGGUGAGGUAACGGCUCACCAAGGCGACGAUACAUAGCCGACCUGAGAGGGUGAUCGGCCGCACUGGGACUGAGACACGGCCCAGACUCCUACGGGAGGCAGCAGUAGGGAAUCUUCGGCAAUGGACGGAAGUCUGACCGAGCAACGCCGCGUGAGUGAAGAAGGUUUUCGGAUCGUAAAGCUCUGUUGUAAGAGAAGAACGAGUGUGAGAGUGGAAAGUUCACACUGUGACGGUAUCUUACCAGAAAGGGACGGCUAACUACGUG